GGAAGCGUCUGGAAAGGCGCGCGAUACAGGGUGACAGCCCCGUACACAAAAAUGCACAUGCUGUGAGCUCGAUGAGUAGGGCGGGACACGUGGUAUCCUGUCUGAAUAUGGGGGGACCAUCCUCCAAGGCUAAAUACUCCUGACUGACCGAUAGUGAACCAGUACCGUGAGGGAAAGGCGAAAAGAACCCCGGCGAGGGGAGUGAAAAAGAACCUGAAACCGUGUACGUACAAGCAGUGGGAGCACGCUUAGGCGUGUGACUGCGUACCUUUUGUAUAAUGGGUCAGCGACUUAUAUUCUGUAGCAAGGUUAACCGAAUAGGGGAGCCGAAGGGAAACCGAGUCUUAACUGGGCGUUAAGUUGCAGGGUAUAGACCCGAAACCCGGUGAUCUAGCCAUGGGCAGGUUGAAGGUUGGGUAACACUAACUGGAGGACCGAACCGACUAAUGUUGAAAAAUUAGCGGAUGACUUGUGGCUGGGGGUGAAAGGCCAAUCAAACCGGGAGAUAGCUGGUUCUCCCCGAAAGCUAUUUAGGUAGCGCCUCGUGAAUUCAUCUCCGGGGGUAGAGCACUGUUUCGGCAAGGGGGUCAUCCCGACUUACCAACCCGAUGCAAACUGCGAAUACCGGAGAAUGUUAUCACGGGAGACACACGGCGGGUGCUAACGUCCGUCGUGAAGAGGGAAACAACCCAGACCGCCAGCUAAGGUCCCAAAGUCAUGGUUAAGUGGGAAACGAUGUGGGAAGGCCCAGACAGCCAGGAUGUUGGCUUAGAAGCAGCCAUCAUUUAAAGAAAGCGUAAUAGCUCACUGGUCGAGUCGGCCUGCGCGGAAGAUGUAACGGGGCUAAACCAUGCACCGAAGCUGCGGCAGCGACGCUUAUGCGUUGUUGGGUAGGGGAGCGUUCUGUAAGCCUGUGAAGGUGUGCUGUGAGGCAUGCUGGAGGUAUCAGAAGUGCGAAUGCUGACAUAAGUAACGAUAAAGCGGGUGAAAAGCCCGCUCGCCGGAAGACCAAGGGUUCCUGUCCAACGUUAAUCGGGGCAGGGUGAGUCGACCCCUAAGGCGAGGCCGAAAGGCGUAGUCGAUGGGAAACAGGUUAAUAUUCCUGUACUUGGUGUUACUGCGAAGGGGGGACGGAGAAGGCUAUGUUGACCGGGCGACGGUUGUCCCGGUUUAAGCGUGUAGGCUGGUUUUCCAGGCAAAUCCGGAAAAUCAAGGCUGAGGCGUGAUGACGAGGCACUACGGUGCUGAAGCAACAAAUGCCCUGCUUCCAGGAAAAGCCUCUAAGCAUCAGGUAACAUCAAAUCGUACCCCAAACCGACACAGGUGGUCAGGUAGAGAAUACCAAGGCGCUUGAGAGAACUCGGGUGAAGGAACUAGGCAAAAUGGUGCCGUAACUUCGGGAGAAGGCACGCUGAUAUGUAGGUGAAGUCCCUCGCGGAUGGAGCUGAAAUCAGUCGAAGAUACCAGCUGGCUGCAACUGUUUAUUAAAAACACAGCACUGUGCAAACACGAAAGUGGACGUAUACGGUGUGACGCCUGCCCGGUGCCGGAAGGUUAAUUGAUGGGGUCAGCGCAAGCGAAGCUCUUGAUCGAAGCCCCGGUAAACGGCGGCCGUAACUAUAACGGUCCUAAGGUAGCGAAAUUCCUUGUCGGGUAAGUUCCGACCUGCACGAAUGGCGUAAUGAUGGCCAGGCUGUCUCCACCCGAGACUCAGUGAAAUUGAACUCGCUGUGAAGAUGCAGUGUACCCGCGGCAAGACGGAAAGACCCCGUGAACCUUUACUAUAGCUUGACACUGAACAUUGAGCCUUGAUGUGUAGGAUAGGUGGGAGGCUUAGAAGUGUGGACGCCAGUCUGCAUGGAGCCGACCUUGAAAUACCACCCUUUAAUGUUUGAUGUUCUAACGUUGACCCGUAAUCCGGGUUGCGGACAGUGUCUGGUGGGUAGUUUGACUGGGGCGGUCUCCUCCUAAAGAGUAACGGAGGAGCACGAAGGUUGGCUAAUCCUGGUCGGACAUCAGGAGGUUAGUGCAAUGGCAUAAGCCAGCUUGACUGCGAGCGUGACGGCGCGAGCAGGUGCGAAAGCAGGUCAUAGUGAUCCGGUGGUUCUGAAUGGAAGGGCCAUCGCUCAACGGAUAAAAGGUACUCCGGGGAUAACAGGCUGAUACCGCCCAAGAGUUCAUAUCGACGGCGGUGUUUGGCACCUCGAUGUCGGCUCAUCACAUCCUGGGGCUGAAGUAGGUCCCAAGGGUAUGGCUGUUCGCCAUUUAAAGUGGUACGCGAGCUGGGUUUAGAACGUCGUGAGACAGUUCGGUCCCUAUCUGCCGUGGGCGCUGGAGAACUGAGGGGGGCUGCUCCUAGUACGAGAGGACCGGAGUGGACGCAUCACUGGUGUUCGGGUUGUCAUGCCAAUGGCACUGCCCGGUAGCUAAAUGCGGAAGAGAUAAGUGCUGAAAGCAUCUAAGCACGAAACUUGCCCCGAGAUGAGUUCUCCCUGACUCCUUGAGAGUCCUGAAGGAACGUUGAAGACGACGACGUUGAUAGGCCGGGUGUGUAAGCGCAGCGAUGCGUUGAGCUAACCGGUACUAAUGAACCGUGAGGCUUAACCUUACAACGCCGAAGCUGUU
This 2625-nucleotide ribosomal RNA is filed under the name Escherichia coli. Its description in RNAcentral is "partial 23S ribosomal RNA". It matches the Rfam family "Bacterial large subunit ribosomal RNA", at positions 334 to 2925 of the family's 2925-position model. The record is from RNAcentral. Lineage: Bacteria; Pseudomonadati; Pseudomonadota; Gammaproteobacteria; Enterobacterales; Enterobacteriaceae.